Gopherus evgoodei (Goodes thornscrub tortoise) is the source of this 294-nucleotide long non-coding RNA. RefSeq lists it as uncharacterized. The transcript is spliced from 3 exons. The record is from RefSeq and is a predicted model, not a curated record. Lineage: Eukaryota; Metazoa; Chordata; Testudines; Testudinidae.
AGCGGGGCCAUGGAAGACCCCGGAGCAGAUCGCAGCCAGGGUCAUAACCACAGAGAACCACAGAAAAGCCUGAGGUUACACAAGGUGCACACAAUGCUGCAGAUAAUGCACAUGCUUUGCUUUACUACAGCUCUGAGAGCACCACUGAAGUCAAUGGCCUUCCUACUGGUGUAAAGCAGAACAGACUCUGGCUCACCGCAUCAAAGUGAUUUCUGAGAAUCACUUCCAAGCCACAUGGAGGGAUUGUACAUCUUGGAGAAUUCCUCCGGAUCAGCGUCAAGGCUGCUGACUAAC